AAACUAAAGCAUGAUUGUUUCAAU
RNAcentral lists this small nuclear RNA (24 nucleotides) under Arabidopsis thaliana (thale cress). RNAcentral's name for it is "snRNA_13065". The record is from RNAcentral. Lineage: Eukaryota; Viridiplantae; Streptophyta; Magnoliopsida; Brassicales; Brassicaceae.